Molecule: transfer RNA, 61 nt
Filed under: Typosyllis sp. patternB
Lineage: Eukaryota; Metazoa; Annelida; Polychaeta; Phyllodocida; Syllidae
Description: tRNA-Thr
Source: RNAcentral
AACCGAAUAGUUUAAAAAAAACACCACUCUUGUAAAGUGAAAAUGAUAUUUUCUUCGGACA